Molecule: long non-coding RNA, 3088 nt
Filed under: Solanum tuberosum (potato)
Lineage: Eukaryota; Viridiplantae; Streptophyta; Magnoliopsida; Solanales; Solanaceae
Description: long non-coding RNA (STUB_LNC002162)
Source: RNAcentral
CUUCUUCAAAUCAGUGAGUCGCCAAUAGCCAGGUAUGGUUUCCUUUUAAUAUUUGGUUGAAGUUUUAUCUGUUUCCUUUCAUUUUUUCAAUUUUCGAUUCACCUUUGUUUGAUCUGUUUUAUAUUUUUUGCAUUUUUGAUCCCACUCGACUUUAUCAACAAAAAAUUUCUCAAAAGAGUACCUCCUCGAUCAAUGGAGACUUGAACAGUUUUCACCAGUGUUAGCUGCAUAUUGACAAAUUUAAUCUUAAAUUAUUAUCACCAAGUUAGAUUUAGUUGUCAAUAACCUAGAAAAUUUCAAUUUGAAACCCAAGCUUCAACAAUGGUGGAAUUCGAAGUUUUUCACCAAAGAAAUUUCAAUUCAAUGUGUUCCACCGAAUCAAAUUUUCAGCUUUCAAUUUCAUCUUUGGAGGUUCCAACCCUAAAUCUCAAAUGCCUAUCAGUACUGAAAUUUAAAAUUGUAAGCUAAAGCAAUUUUUGAACCACCUCUAUCAGUACACAAGAAUCCUAUCAAAGAGAUUCAAUAAUUUAUAUGUAAGCAAAAAAGAUCAAUUUUUUCCCUAGACAGUAUAAAUUUCAACGAAGGAGAUUCAACUGACCCCCCUCGUCCAUCUAACGGUGCCCCUGGAUAUAGGGAGAUCACAAAGGCUAGAGACAAUGGAUCUAUCGGGGAGAAGUUUGUUCAAGAGAGAAACUUAACUAGCCAACAGCUCCCUCUGGAACAAAGUCCCAAAUCUAAUGUAAGCAGAUCCAGACUGCACAAACAUAUCCGUAAUCCGUUCGAGUGAUAACUUGACAAACACGGAUUCAGUAACAACAAUCAGAGAGUUCAGUGUCACAUUUUCAUUAUUAAUAAAUCAAUAUUCGGACUAGAGCCAUUCAGACACCAAAAAGCAAACUGAAAACAUCUGAAUGAAACUCGCAAGUACAUUAAUAAAGAAGUACUGAGGAAUUUCUUCGACUAAUUUUCCGUACAAGGCAACAAGAGAAUCUACAAAAUUGAAACAAGCUCACUAUUUUAGAGAAAAGAUCAUCUCAACAAAUUGACUGGACUCGAAAGAAAAUGUUUUGUUAACGGUUUAGCUGAACGUCUUAUCAAUUUGUUCGUCGAACUACCUUUUUAUGUCUCUAAGGGCAUCAUACCAUGCUUUUAUUCUUCUAACUUCUGGUGAAUCUUCUCUAAAAUUGUCUCCAAUGUCAUAGUGACCAUAACCAUGAAACAAUACGUUAAUCGGACUCUCUUCCUUCUUCCUAUAUUCUUCUCCAUAAUUUGAUAUGUUUAUUGAACUUCCAGAGCUUCUAUCUAACAUAUAGACAUAAAUCGAGGACCUGCAACAAAAAAUUAGGAAACAUAUCAACAAAAUCGGACAACAGAUUCUAAAAUCGAAGCCUUAACCAGCGUCAUCCAGAGAUCACAUGUAGCUACUAAGUUAUUUUCUGAUGAACACUUAUUAUUGACAGACCCAUGGACUUAAGUACAAUAAAGAACCAAAUGAUGGCUCCGGGUAUAAGCGUGUCAUAGAGAUUAGUGUUGAUGUUAGGCUGUUGCCAAGAAUGCAAUGAAGUACAAUGAUGGCAAGUGUGAUGUUCAUCUGAUGGAGAAAAUAUUACUGGAAAAAUUUGAGGAGAAAUGGUUACAACUUCUGCCAAAAGUUAAUGAGAAGGUAACUAUUACUUUGAACAAUUCUGUUCUUUGGUAUGGCUUCCGUAAUUUCUUAAUAUAAUGAUGCUUGUGUUUGGUUGACAAUGAUAUGUAGGUUGUACUCUAUUUGUUCUAGAGUAUUUUCUCAAGUAAUUUAGAGCUCUCAUGGCUCCUGACUGAUAUUUACGAUUCACUAGUUUGUUUUGUGGACAAUGAUAUGUAGGUAGAGUUCAAUAACAGAGGGAGUAGUAUAUUUAGACAAUCUUUUACUUUUUCUUUUUCAUCUCUAAGAAAUAGACGCAACAACUUCUCUUCACCAUCGACUAUCCCUACUGCUCCCUCUCCAGUGCAAUGGCAGACUUUCUUGCCUCUUCUCCAAUAACCGCUACAAUGGCAGACAUUCUUGCUUCUUCUCCAACAAUCGUUGCAAUGGCAAACUUUCUUGCCUCUUCCCCAUCAAUUGCCAUUGGUAAUUUUUAAACUCUUGUAUCCAAAAUUUGGCUGUAAUGUUGAAAUUUCUCAUAUUUGACAGUCAUCUGCUUUCCCUCUUAAAGAAAAAAAAAUGGGCUAUUGAGUUAUCAAGAACAUUUCUUAACUUAAGAUAUCCUGGAUAACAAUGGUUAUAUUUCACUAUUUCUAUAUCCAUCCUAUAAUUAAUUUCUUUUAUAGUCAAAAUUUAUAAAAUAACUGUAGUUGAAAUUCUUUUGUUUUUCUGACAAAAUUUAGUUCAACAUUUGGAGUUGGGGAUUGUAAUGUGUUUUUUAGUUGACCGGUUGUUAGUAUAGUGGUAUCAGAAGUGGUAUGUGUUGCAUCCUAGAGAAAAAUUGUAUCAGUACAUGUCUCUACCAAUAGUUACUGGUAAACCUGAAAUAGUGUGCAAAUUUAUGAAUUGAAAAAUGGUUUUUAGCAGCCAAAAUAGGACUAUGUUUAUUAGAAAAAAAAGAGUGGCAAUUCAGGUAAGAGGUGGGGAAAAGGGGUAGGAACGGUUUUUAAAUAAGAGUCACAAUAUGGUCCUUUUUCAAAAUACUGAGAUAGAAACGACUUAUAUAAUAAAAUUUAGCAAUAUGAUUCCUUUUCAUGAUAAACCCGAAUAUGAUUAUCUCUAUUGUUCUGGCAGCUUUCUUGUGUCUAAUGUUCUUUUGACACACCUUUGGUACUCUGAUACAGAAGCAGUUUGAAAUCCUUUUAGUUAGCUAUAGAGUAAUAAAGAAAAAUUGAAGAUUAGGUUGUUUAAAAAAACAACUGAAGAUUUCAUCUUUGUACAAUAACUCGGAGGCAAUGAAGUACAAAUUCGAUGAACUCAGUGGCAGUAUCAGGUAAACACCAAGCAUGUAAGUUACCAAUUUCAUUUUCUUCCAUCCUAUGCCUCUCUUUUUUUUAAUAUGAAAAAUACUUGCAUAUCUUAAAGGUGACACACAUCUCAUAUGGAGUCUAAUUCUUUUGAUAG